GCUUAUACAUUUUUACACAAAACUAUUUUAAAUAAUUCAAUCAUUUUUAUUUUAUUUUUCAUUCUUUAAACAAUUCUGAAAAAAAUUGUACCAUGGUUUACACAAAUUUUAUCAUGGUUUACACAAAAGUAAAAAAGUAGCACAAAAAUCAGCACUAAAUCAGCAUAUUAGAAUGAUUUCUAAUAACUUUAUCAUCACAUGAUUAAAAUCUUAAAAUAGAAAAUGUCCAUUUAAAUUGUAAUAUUUUUUUCCCACAAUAUUGUUGUUUUUAUUUUUGAUCAAAUAACUAUAGCCUUGGUGUGAGAAUGAGAGGUUUCUUUUAAUAAUAUGUAGGAGAGCAUUACAACAAAUGGCCCUGGAUGCUAAAUCAUGUCUGAAUUAACACACCACCCUAGUUUGAAAGCAGCAGAGGUUAGUGGCCUCACUGACACUGCUGUGAUGAACUCCUAAUUAGAGGAGGAAUGCCAAACUUGCUUGUCUAACCGGCACAGCGAGCCGUCUUGCCUGACAGUGCACAGAGAAAAGGUCUUUAUUAAAGCCCACAUUUGUUUUGACUAAAUUGAAAUGGGAAAAUCAGUGUUAUUUCAAUAUUAAGCUUCUUUGGGUCCUGGAUUCAGGUUUUGAUCUACAGUACAGGCCCACUUAGAGUGUUUACCCACAUGAUGGCUAACGCUUGUGUUUGAUAAGCCCUCUUGAAAAAUAUCAGUGGUUUGCCAGCUAUUUGCCUGUCACCAGUUUCAAUUGAGUGCCGAGAUGAUUGCCUAACACCAGUUUGUGGAUAUGUUCAUGCCUUCAGCUUUGCCAGUAGACUACAAGUGAGCUUGAAAUAGUAUUUUAUUAUUUAAUCCUCCUUUAUAGUUUUUAAACAUUCACUUCAGCUCGAUCAGCAUGGCUCAGUUAACAAAGUUGGUGUCAUAACUGCUGCUUUCUAAUGCUGGAUUGAUUGUAAUUCAGUGUAGCAGUGUAUUCAGAUUAAAUAUUUUUUAUUUGCAAACAAAUUGAAAUUAUUUCAGUAAAGUCAGUGUUGUACUAGUUGCAGUUCUUCUUUAGGGCUCUUGAAAAAAUUUAAAUGGACUUUUAUUUAUUUAUUAAUAUUUAUUCAGUACUAUGUAGCUACUCAUGUACAACAAAAGGCAGAUUGCCUACUUCCCUUCACAAGACAAAAAUCUGCAAUUGAGAUGACUGGGAAUGCUAAUGGAUAGAUUAUAGACAUCCUUGAGCUUGACAAAUCAGUCAAGACUUCAAUCAAGUCAUUUUCAUCGAGAAAUUAUGUGAGUAAUGUUGUGGGGUAGUGCGCACAUUACCUAUAUCAUGUCUCUUCGAUUGUGACAUUAUUGUCAUUAUUAAUGUGUUGCUGCAUAUCGCUUCAUGUCAUCUAUGUGGAAUUUUGGCAGGUCAGGUCUUUUGGAAAUCCUCUGUGUUUUCUUUCUGAAACUGGGGAAGAGAUGAACAUAACAAGCACUGUGGUAUGUUAAUAACUAGUUUAUUUAUUUGUGUGACUGAAUGCAAUUUUGUUGCCUAUAAAUUAGAAGAAUGCUGGAUCCCAAAACAUUAUUUAUUGAGUGUUAUGUUACAUUACUCCAGUGGAGGCUGCAGAAUUGAGCUCUUUGCUGUUUUUGCUAUAAAAUCCUUUGUUUUGAGAUUUUGUAACUUUUUGUUCAUGACUGUAAAUCUAUUUGGAAAUGUUGCACAAGUACAAGUACAAUGCACAAGUAGUUGCUUAGGAUGUUGCCCCAUGAAGCCUUUUCAGAAACCCUGGAUACUCUAUUAACUUACUUGGCCGGUUGUCAUAAUCUGAGACUGACUGAUUCACAAUGACCUCUGAAUGUCUGGUAAAACACCUACUUGAUGAGUCAUCGUACCAAAACAGCUUAUUUGUAAUGAUUAUGCAAACCGUAUUUAUAUAUGUAAACUAUAAGAUGGAUAGUUCCAACUAUAAAUACUGACUGGAUGAGCUACAUUCAAAGCCAUGCCAUCUAUAUUAAUACACAGAGUUGUUAUGGUGCUUGGCGACCAUAAGCAGCUGACAGUUAAGGUUAUGAACUAGAUUAUUGGUGUCCUGUCUUAUAUCUGUUUCUGCCUUUUUAUAAAAGUAAUAAGACACAUGAGGUUGUGUGUGAUUUUUAUUUUAGGGAAGACAUUAAGCCGAGAACACCCUUUAGCUGAGAUAAAAUCACUGUAAUGAAUGUCCUCUCAUUGCUUAUAAAAUGCUUUAUUAACCAACAAUUUGCUAACACAAUAUAAACAAGACAUUUAUAAAUGAAUCAAACAUCUGUAGUUUUUUUCUUUUUUAAUUCACCAGUGUAAAAUGUUUUAAUGCAGUGAUUGUGAAUGGCUAGCUUUUAUAUUUAGCACUGUAGAAGAUACGAAUGCUUAUCUCAGCAGUCAAUCCUGUAAAGGAGGAACUGCUAGUGGGCAAAUUUAGGGCUCAAGCAAUGCCUGUCUUUGUGUAACUAAAAACUCCUAUAUAGCUAUGUAUAAUUUUUGUACAUAAUCAUAUGUAAUAUUUAUGUCAGGCCGGAUCUGUACAUCUUUCACUGACCUAACCCCAGUGGUACUUAACGUACUGCAGUUUAUAAAUACAUCUGUAUGAAUAAAUGGGUUUAUGUUCUACAGCUCGAUUUAGCAUAAAGGCGCUCUCUUUCACUUAACUUAGUAUUUAGAGGCCAAGCCUGAGAGCUGCCUACCUCUGCAUCCCCUGUUUCUUCCACACUAGUCAGUAUAUAUGGGUUUGGUCUAGCUAUAUUAGUCUGGAAUCUAUGAAAUGCCAGCUCCCACUGCCAGCAAUCUCAACAUGUUCAAGCAAGUGAGUGGACCAUACUUUAAACCACUAACACAGGGGUGUCAAGCUCAUUUUAGGUCACGGGCCAAAAUGGACUAUGCGUCACUUAAUGCGGACUUACUUUUAUUUGAUAAACCUUGGUGAACCCAUAGAGGGUGCUUGCAUGAUUCAUACUCACAUAUCCAGGAUUAAUUAAUCAAUAUUGGAUCAAUGUGGAAUUUGACCGGAGACCUUUAGAUAAUGUAUACUAUACAUACAACAGUCAUAAGUAAGGAAUGUUAAUUUAACAGUGACCACAAUAAAGCAUGUAUAUAGUAAGUCUUAUAAUUAUUUAUGAUGAUUGAGAAAAUCUAUGAAAAUCUGCUUCGUCACGUACAGAUCCAGUUUUGAGUCAAAAGUAGGAGACGUAGACUGAGUGCCACAAUUUGUUUUAAAAAAAUGUUUCUUUUUGCUGUAACCCAAGUUAAUCCAUCCUGCUGUAAAAAGCAGAAUAUUAUGAAUCUCUCGUACAGAUAUAAUAAAUGUUUGGGAAUGUUUUCAUCGUAAUUAAAUUCUUGGAAAUUCGAUUAGACUUCUCCACGGGCUGUAUAUUGGGACUGUGGGCCAUAUGUUUGACACCCCUGCCCAAAAGGAUUCUGUAAACCCAUAUAUUUUAGAGCAAGUGUUAGAUUGCUGUUCACUUUGGCCAAAUGUCUGUUGUUUAGUGUAAUCUAUAACAUAUGUUUCAGUUCUAGAAAAUGGAGGUCAAGGGACAGCGAGUGCUGUGAUUCCCAUCACUGAACGUUCGGAAGAGGAAUUGUCGUAUUUGUGUGCAUAGUGCAUCAUGUGUGACUCAUUUACAAUGGACCGAACAAUAGGAAUCUUAAUCAAAAGAUUUGCAGCUAAUUAUCAGAGUAAACAGUGUAGUGGACCCCUCAGGAAUGGCUAAGUUUGAUCCGUGUGUGUUUGGCGAAUCAAUCUCUUCUCCGUUCUGGCCAACCCAAACACAGAUUAGUAGAAAGUUGAGUUUUCUUCCCCCUCAACUUCGAUGUGGGGUAAUUGAGCACGUUGUAUCUGGUGGGACUGGUGUUCCUGUGCUGUGCCGAGCGGAGUGUAGUCCCAUGGGAGCCGGGCGAGAGGCUCCAGCACCGGGGCCUUCAUUGUUUAUUCUGAUGGAUUCCAGAUGCUGGCAGAGGGAGCAGCCAAACUCCAGGGGCCUACGCCAAAAAACCAGGAAGCAGUCCAGCGCUAUCUGAAAUACUUGGAAAACAUUACUUAGCUUUGUAAUAACCAAGAAAAGAGUGAAAGGGCCAAAAUCUGCACUGAAUUUUCAAAUGCAUUACUGGUGACCACUGGACAUGUGUUGGUUUCACAACUCAAAAUAGUUGUUUCAAGGAAAAUGUAAGGUCCAGGGAUAUUUGCUUAAGAGAGUAGCGUUAGCAUAGUUGUUUUUCCAAAACGUGUUUGAAUUUCAAUAUUACUUUAGAUCUGAUGUUGUAUGUUGUUGAAGAAUGCUUUACAAAACCUGUUAAAUUUGUUAAAGUAGCAACAAAUCUUUUCUUCUGUGUUGUGAUGUAUAUCUGAGUGAAACAGAUUUUCAAAAAAGAGAAUAUGUGGGGUGGGGGAUUGGUUCAAUGCAUCGACUUAACGGAGGCAGAUUUAAAUGUGAGCUUUAGUAAGAAAGGGUCAGGUUUUAAGUAGACUUCAUGUUAUUUCAAUGGAAGAUUAUAGCGAAUUAUGGCAUUUUAAUAAAAAUAAGAGGUCAAAAAUUAAUUAAAGAAAAAAAAAUGUGUUUAGAACAUUUAAUUUUCAUUUCACGCCAACUGUAAUGUACGUCAUAAGCCAAAAAAAUAAAUAAAAAGUGUUUUCACUGUGUUUAUUACAUCUAGAUUAAAGUUAAUUAAUUUUUUUUAUGUUAGACAAAACUUGUUACAAAUGCUAAAAAUGUAUUAAAUUAUAGUAAAGUUAAUAAAUGAGGUUCAUUGUUAGUUGACACCCAAUACACAAACACAUUUUUAUAAAUUGAACCAUGUUGCAAACUGUUAGCGGUGACAUCAUUAUACUGCUGAGGUGUUAAUGACUAUUUCUUUGUGGUUGGCAGCUUCCUUUCCUUUUUCUUAAUGAACACAGAUCCAGUAUCAGCUACUCCGACACCGAUCAUCAAUAAAAAAUGUCAAGGCUGAACCCAGCACACCUGUUCCCUCUUGUCAGUCUCUGCGAUGCUGUCCUUGCAUUUCGGGCGUAAAAAGAGACAGCUGCACCCACAAGAAAAGGACACGGAGAGACCCAAGAAAACACUAGCCUCAUUUAGCCACCCUAGUGGGGAUUAAUAAAUAACACCAGCGUGCACCUGACUGGAAUGCUUGCUCAAGUCCGGCCGUUCGCGGAGCACUCCGGAAAUCGCACACAGGCGCAGCUGAUGAGCUCCACACUAUCAUUCUUGUGUGUGGGACACUGGGAAAGGCCAUCUGCAGGCUCUGUCUUGGCCUUGGCUGAAUCUCCUCAUCCAGGCCAGACAGAGCUCCACUUGAUCCAUUCUCACAUUGUGAUGCUAAUGGCUCAGAGCGCAACACGCGUGGGUACAUUCAUGUCUGUUUACAUGUGCUAAGCAUUGGGAUGACACAUAUUUAUGUAAAGUAUUUCGAGACAAGUCACACUUAAAAUAUCUAAAUAUCAUCUAAUUUAAUCAUUUUUAAUUUCUAAGUAAAGUUUUAUUAAUUUAAUAUUUUGUUGACUAAAGCAAAGACUUUUAUGCAGUUUUAAGUCUGGCUUAAGUGUCCAAAUAGUUUAAAUAUUUUGUGGCCACUGUACAUGUGUUUGUGUGUGUGUACAUGUAUAUAGGAAAAUAUUCUGUUCAGCAAUUAUUAGUGUUUUUUGAGUUUUUGAGAAUUUUUUUUGAUAUUGGGUGAUAUUUAGAAGAAGCAUGAAUUUGAAUGUUUGUGGAUGGCCAUCUAUGCAGGUUUCAUGAUUAGCCAAAUUUUUUUUGUAAUGCAUUUGUGAAGGCAAACAAAAAAUAAAAAAAAUGUGAAGACUAAAAUAAGUGUUUGGAUUUUUGUAGUCUCCUGUUGAUUCUUUUCCCCAAGAGUUGACAUGCAUUUCCUUGCAAAACCAAACUUCAGCAGCCUGGGCCAAAGAGGUGGUUUUUUUCAAUUACCUCCAAGAAUUCGCUAAAACUGCAUAGUCACCCUUCCAAGAAUUCCUCCAUUUUGCACACAGACAAAUGUGGUAAAUUACUAUUACAUUUGUGGCCUCUGUAGAUCUGCAUUUUCUCUCAAAUGGAUGGCAAGACCCUGUAACACCUCCAUAUUAUGUUAAACUAGUUUGCUUUGCUGCCAUUAGACAACGAUUUUAAAAAGAUACGUUUUUGAAAGAUACCGUCAUUUGACUUUGAUUUUUUAUUAUUUUUAAAUUGCCUUUGAGUUUUUAAAGGACAACUGAAAUACAUCAAAUGUAAAUUUUCUGUUGGAAGAUUAUUUGAUUCUUUUAUUAAUUUGAAACAUUUGUUUACGUUUUUAUUGAUUGAUUUUAUUUCACUUUAGCAGGCACUUUACUGUAGAAAGCAAGCAGAGAUGCAGGUUUGAGUGUAUUUACUUGCUUUAAAAAGUGGAUUUAAGUGGGCUCUUUUAUGAACUCGCCCUGACCAGACCCUUUGUAGCAUUUCCCGCUCUUUUAAGUCUUAUCUCUCUCCAAACACUGAAUCCCUAUCUCCCACGUCUCUCCUCUGGCACCCUUUUGUUAAUCUAUAUAGUCUUGAUUGAAAACAGAGGGCUGAUCUGAAAAAGGGAUUUUUAAAGUUUCCCAUGUUAUACCAGUGUGGAACCCAUCUGCUUCUGAUUUCCUUCCCCCUUCAGUCCUGUACGGCCUGAUUGGAGGAACGUCUCCAGCUGUGAGCAAUGACUGCCGUACUGUGGUAUUUGUCCUGUUGCGGGGAGGUUGGCUCUGCUGCGAGGACAGCCAGAAUCGCCCCCCUCUUUCAGUCUCCAUAGGGACCACAGCUGGAGGAAUGGUGAGAGGAGACGCUCGAUCUGAUUUCUCUUCUCCAUAAGUGUUUACAGUCACUGGAUACUUCGAUCUCUUCGAUGUCAUAAGCAUUCAGAAGCUCAGAAAUGUUCUGCUUAGUCCUCACAGUGUGAACCCACUGUCAUUUAAGGCGGCUAGGAUUAACAAUGUGGGGGUCUUUGGAACAAGAUUCACUUUACUGAGUGUUGACAGGCAGAAAAUAUAUUUUGGGUGUGUGUUUUUGGUGAGUGGCUGUUUUUGUCUAUUUUUGCUCCAAAAAUAACUUUAGAACUCGCUUGAACAGCUGGAUAGUGAGGGCCCUUUCUU
Molecule: long non-coding RNA, 7087 nt
Organism: Carassius auratus (goldfish)
Lineage: Eukaryota; Metazoa; Chordata; Actinopteri; Cypriniformes; Cyprinidae
Exons: 2
Source: RefSeq, a predicted model, not a curated record